GGUUUGGCACCUCGAUGUCGGCUCAUCACAUCCUGGGGCUGAAUUCGGUCCCAAGGGUUCGGCUGUUCGCCGAUUAAAGUGGCACGCGAGCUGGGUUCAGAACGUCGUGAGACAGUUCGGUCCCUAUCUGUUGCGGGCGUAAGAGAUUUGAAGGGAGCUGUCCUUAGUACGAGAGGACCGGGAUGGACAGACCUCUGGUGCACCAGUUGUCCUGCCAAGGGCACAGCUGGGUAGCUACGUCUGGACGAGAUAAACGCUGAAAGCAUCUAAGCGUGAAACUCCCCCUAAGAUAAGAUCUCUCAUCCGAAAGGAGUAAGGCUCGACGUAGACUAUGUCGUAGAUAGGUCGGAGGUGGAAGCACGGUAACGUGUGCAGCUGACCGAUACUAAUAAGCCGAGGGCUUGACCUA
RNAcentral lists this ribosomal RNA (409 nucleotides) under human gut metagenome. Its description in RNAcentral is "bacterial LSU rRNA". It matches the Rfam family "Bacterial large subunit ribosomal RNA", at positions 2515 to 2925 of the family's 2925-position model. The record is from RNAcentral.